This is a long non-coding RNA of Aethalodelphis obliquidens (Pacific white-sided dolphin), 879 nucleotides long. RefSeq lists it as uncharacterized. The record is from RefSeq and is a predicted model, not a curated record. The transcript has 4 exons. Lineage: Eukaryota; Metazoa; Chordata; Mammalia; Artiodactyla; Delphinidae.
GCUCAGUAAAUCUUUAAUCUGCUUGUCUGCUGAUGGGUGGGGCUGGGUUCCCUCCCUGUUGGUUGUUUGCCUUGAGGAGACCCAACACUGGAGGCUACCAGGCUCUUUGGUGGGGCUAACGGCAGACUCUGGGAGCGCCUACGCUAAGGAGUACUUCCCAGAACUUCUGCUGCCAGUGUCCUUGUCCCCACGGUGAGCCACAGCCACCCCCCACCUCUGCAGAAGACCCUCCAACACUAGCAGAGCCUGCUCACUGCCAAGUGGACUGAUAAAACGGAGGUCUGCAUACACAAGACUGAGAGCCAGUGCUGCCUCUGAGACCACCUUCACCAACACCCUAUGGAGGGCUCACCUAAGGGACUUGUCACUUAUUGUGCUCAAAUCCAUGCCUUGAGUGCCCUCCUACUGAAAUGUGUUCCUCCAGUGAGACCUCUGGACUCUUCUGCCUCAUUAUAAGCUGACCUGCAGUUUUUUCCUUACCUUCACCCAGUCUGAUCUGCUCUCUACCCUCCAAACCCAGUGUGUACUUGAACUCGUCUGCUGUUAGUAGAAGUUCCAAGGCACAAAGGAAGUUGAUAUAUCCCAUUGUUCCUUUCGCUUAUGGUUGGGUUUUCACCAACUGCGUGUCGGUAGAAGUGAUAUAAGCCACCUACAGACUUGGGUCGUUUAAACAUCUUGCGUGAUACAGCAGAUUUCUUUCCCCUGCUACAGCAACCCUGGAAGCCAUAUGAUAAGUUGGUAACAUUCCAAGAUGGGGAAUCUCCAUCAGCCUGGGUCCCUGGGAGAUUAUAUGGAAUAGAGCUCACCCCACUGCACUGUUAUCUAUGUUGGACAUGUAACAUGAGCAAGAAAUAAAUGUUUAUUGUAUCAAGACACUGA